CAGUGCGGUUAACAUGGAAUGAUGAU
Molecule: non-coding RNA, 26 nt
Filed under: Cricetulus griseus (Chinese hamster)
Lineage: Eukaryota; Metazoa; Chordata; Mammalia; Rodentia; Cricetidae
Source: RNAcentral